CCUACGGGUGGCAGCAGUGAGGAAUAUUGGUCAAUGGCCGCAGGGCUGAACCAGCCAAGUCGCGUGAGGGAUUACUGUCCUAUGGAUUGUAAACCUCUUUUGUCAGGGAGCAAAGGGCGCCACGUGUGGCGUUUUGCGAGUCCCUGAAGAAAAAGCAUCGGCUAACUCCGUGCCAACAGCCGCGGUAAUACGGAGGAUGAGAGCGUUAUCCGUAUUUAUUGGGUUUAAUGGGUGCGCAGGCUGAAUGUCAAGUCAGAUGUAAAAUUUCGAGGCUCAACCCCGUCGUGCCGUUGAAACUGGCGUUCUUGAGUGAGCGAGAAGUAUGCGGAAUGCGUGGUGUAGCGGUGAAAUGCAUAGAUAUCACGCAGAACUCCGAUUGCGAAGGCAGCAUACCGGCGCUCAACUGACGCUCAUGCACGAAAGCGUGGGUAUCGAACAGGAUUAGAUACACCUGUAGUC
RNAcentral lists this ribosomal RNA (459 nucleotides) under uncultured bacterium. RNAcentral's name for it is "partial 16S ribosomal RNA". It matches the Rfam family "Bacterial small subunit ribosomal RNA", at positions 338 to 795 of the family's 1533-position model. The record is from RNAcentral.